RNAcentral lists this ribosomal RNA (253 nucleotides) under uncultured bacterium. RNAcentral's name for it is "partial 16S ribosomal RNA". It matches the Rfam family "Bacterial small subunit ribosomal RNA", at positions 524 to 776 of the family's 1533-position model. The record is from RNAcentral.
UACGUAGGGGGCAAGCGUUGUCCGGAAUCAUUGGGCGUAAAGAGCGUGUAGGCGGUUCGGUAAGUCUGUCGUGAAAUCCUGAGGCUCAACCUCGGGCGUGCGAUGGAUACUGCCGGGCUAGAGGGUGGUAGAGGCGAGUGGAAUUCCCGGUGUAGCGGUGAAAUGCGCAGAUAUCGGGAGGAACACCAGUAGCGAAGGCGGCUCGCUGGGACACGCCUGACGCUGAGACGCGAAAGCUAGGGGAGCGAACAGG